GCUUCUGUGGGUUGGCAGUAAAUCGCCCUGUCAUUUUGAUCAUUGUCAUCAAUCGUAACAGGGAGCCGUGGGUUCGAGUCCCACUGGAGGCA
Non-coding RNA from Mycena leptocephala, 92 nucleotides. NCBI's taxonomy places the organism in Eukaryota, Fungi, Basidiomycota, Agaricomycetes, Agaricales, Mycenaceae. The record is from the annotation of a GenBank genome assembly.